UCGUGACCCUUAACAAAACAGACCGCGAACGCGUCUCUCGUGCCGCCGGGCUCCGGCCCGGCCAAGGCCCCCGAGCUUCGUCCCGGGGCGGAGGGGCCGCAACAGAACCCACGGCGCCUUAGGCGUCAAGGAACACUUAUAUUGCCUUGCUCGGCGGGGCGGUCGGCCUGCCUUCCGCUCCCCGCGCGGCGAUGAUAUCUUAAUC
Molecule: unclassified non-coding RNA, 205 nt
Filed under: Tripidium bengalense
Lineage: Eukaryota; Viridiplantae; Streptophyta; Magnoliopsida; Poales; Poaceae
Description: sequence contains ITS1
Source: RNAcentral